GACGAACGCUGGCGGCGUGCUUAACACAUGCAAGUCGAACGGAAAGGCCCUGCUUUUGUGGGGUUCUCGAGUGGCGAACGGGUGAGUAACACGUGAGUAACCUGCCCUUUACUUUGGGAUAACUUCAGGAAACAGGGGCUAAUACCGGAUAGGAGCUCCUGCUGCAUGGUGGGGGUUGGAAAGUUUCGGCGGUUGGGGAUGGACGCGCGGCUUAUCAGCUUGUAGGUGGGGUAGUGGCUUACCAAGGCUUUGACGGGUAGCCGGCCUGAGAUGGUGACCGGCCACAGUGGGACUGAGAUGCGGGCCGGACUCCUACGGGGGGCAGCAGUGGGAGAUAGUGCACAAUGGGCGGAAGCCUGAAGCAGCAACGCCGCGUGCGAGAUGACGGCCUUCGGGUUGUAAACCGCUUUCGCCUGUAAAGAAGCGUGAGUGACGGUAAUGAGUAAGAAAGCAACGGCUAACUACGUG
This 468-nucleotide ribosomal RNA is filed under the name uncultured bacterium. RNAcentral's name for it is "partial 16S ribosomal RNA". It matches the Rfam family "Bacterial small subunit ribosomal RNA", at positions 28 to 507 of the family's 1533-position model. The record is from RNAcentral.